This 245-nucleotide ribosomal RNA is filed under the name uncultured bacterium. Its description in RNAcentral is "partial 16S ribosomal RNA". It matches the Rfam family "Bacterial small subunit ribosomal RNA", at positions 89 to 334 of the family's 1533-position model. The record is from RNAcentral.
UUUCUAGUGGCGGACGGGUGAGUAACGCGUGGGUAACCUGCCUUAUACAGGGGGAUAACAACCAGAAAUGGUUGCUAAUACCGCAUAAGCGCACAGGACCGCAUGGUCCGGUGUGAAAAACUCCGGUGGUAUAAGAUGGACCCGCGUUGGAUUAGCUAGUUGGCAGGGGAACGGCCUACCAAGGCGACGAUCCAUAGCCGGCCUGAGAGGGUGAACGGCCACAUUGGGACUGAGACACGGCCCAG